GUAUUUGGUGAGGGUGUGUGCAGGCAUUUAGGACAGCUGCAUGUUUUUCGAUUACUGCAGGCAGGUUUAGGUGCACAUUUGUGGGUCCACACCAGUGAGCACCUUUCUGUGCCACACAAGCAAGACUUGUGUGCUUGUCUGCAAACGGCUUUGAGCUGGAGAUCCGCAGCCAUACAGCUGGGCAAGUCCAUGACUUGGUAGCACACGUGGAUCAGAUUUGAUUCAGAGUUCUGUAGCCAUGUGUUAUUUAAAUGUUUUCUGCUGGGUUACAUUCCCAGGACUCUGAUCUACAUAUUAUAUCUCAUGCAGUUUGUCAGCUUGCUUUUUCCUGCUUGUUUUCCUGUGUUUGUUUAACACCUCUGCCACAAAACCAACAAAACAUGGUACAAGGAAAGGUGUCCCAGAGGUAGCAGGUGAAUGUGUGCAAUCCUUCAUUGCUUGUGUCACCAAUGCAAAAUCAUCCUACGUGCCGUCAGCUCCCAUUUAGAGAUGUGUGCUAAUUAGCCUUUUAUUACAGUGUGUAUUUGAAAACAAUUGAAUUACAGUGCCAGCAUGUGGCAAAUUCAACCUCAGGAUGUUGAUACAGUUAAGUCAGCAACUGGCGACUCAGUCUGAUUGCCAGAGAGCAUUUGUGUGUGUGUGCGUGAAUAGCCUUUGAUCAGGUGCCACUGCAGCCACCUGCCAGCAGAGAGGCACACACAUACUCUUCAGGGCUCCUUAGCACCCUACAGGGUCCUGUCUAGCUUCUUGGGGUGUAAACGUCCCUUGAACAUUUCUGUUGGAGCAGGAGAAGAAAGCAUGCAUUGUGGUGACAUGCCAGAAGUGGAUGGGCUGGAUACGGGCUGGCUCUACCCAACCAUCAAUCAACAUCUUUGUUUUCUGAGGACAGUGGAGCUGCAGUGUCAGUAUUUGCACGCAAGAAUUCCACUGCCGAGCUGCAGUCAUUCAGAGGUAGAGGUGGAGCAGUGUAGCUCCCUGUCAUGUUUCUUCUGAAUGCAAACUCUAAAAGUGCUUUCAGAAGGGACAGCUGUGGAAUUAUUGACACACACCUGUUUCUGUGGUUUCCCAUAGUUCUGUGAAUGAAACCUAACUGAGACUACCAAUUUCUCUGCCCCAGACUCUCAGCAUACCUUGGGCCAGUGACCGCGGUUGGCUGACCACAGCCGUUACCUGGAAGAGCAAGGCUUUCCCUUCGUUGCUAUUCCCCUGAUCAGCUGGCUUUGCUCCAAAGAUCUCCAUUGCCAGAGGGUGCCAAGCAGAAUGUAUUCGCGGAGAUAUGUGAUUCUUCCCCCUUGAGGAAUUUGCAUUCUGCAGUUCUUAUCUGCUCUUAUUAACUUCCAUGUCACAAGGAAAACUAAAGGCCUACAGCUACAUCUCCGAACAGCAGAACUUUGCCUGCUUUGGAGGGGAAGCCUAAAGCCUCUUUUUGCCAUCAUCACCAUUUGCUUUCAAAUAGACUGUCAGGAAAUCAGCUGUGGUUUUGUUUAACAGAGAGAACUUGCUGUUUGUAAAGCCUUUUCCCUUUGUAAAUCCAGCACCGUUUCACGUCAUAGUUGUGACAGGUUUAAGCUCUGCAGCUGCACUUUCUUGCUUUAAAUCCUGUAUGUGUUUUUUCUAACCUGUGUCUGUGAAAUUCUGGAGCUCUGGAAAAAGAAGAAGAGGAAGAAAAAUGCCAAGUGUUUGGCAGAGGAUGAUUAGAAGCUGUGUGCAUGGUCUCCCCAGUCUCCUCCUCUGAAUGCUUUGACAGGUGCCUUCCUCAGCAGCCUUUGUCUACUUCCAGUCUUGGAUUAAUGCAGUGGGAACACGGGCUUCAGGCACCUUGCAUGGGACCUUACAGCCAAGAGCUGUAAUUUUCAGUUAAAAUUUCCUGCUGGAAUGAAGUAAACACUUUGCUCGGAGGAGCUGUGGAUUCCCUAUCCUUGUAAGUGUUCAAGGCCAGGCUGGAUGGGGCUUUGAGCAACCUAGACUAGUGGGAGGAUUGGAACCAGGUGCUCUUUAAGGUCCCUUCCAGCCCAAACCCUUCUGUGACUCUGUGAUUCUGUGAUUUAAGACGAGCUGUGCUCAUUAUCAGUUUGAUCUACUGACACCACAAUACAGAAACAAUGGGAUUUUGUGCCUGUACAGUCAGAUUAAUGAGUACGCUGGAGCUAUAACACAAACGAACUUUGCUGUGAGACGAGUCUUCUGAGAGCUCACGUGAGUGCCAGGUGUUAGGUGAGUGCUCUGCUGUCCCGAAAUGAUGGAGGUGCAAAAGGCUCGCUGGAUUUUGCUGUAACAAAAAAGCAGGUCUUUGGGGAUAGUUCAAUCCCUUUACAGCUUUAAUGUUAGAAGAAUUUACUUGCUUUGGCCUGUUACACUCAGCGUAAGACUCAGCUUCAUUGUUAAAAUGUAGCUGAAAAAAAAUAAAAAAUUGAGAAAUGGAAAGAUUGGAUUUUCUUGGUUACAUAAUUUUCUUUUAAAACAAACAAACCAUUUUGCAGCUGACAGGAUUUAUGUGGGUACUUAAUCUGGAGCUAAUCAUAAUCUCUAGAAAUGCAGCUUCCUGUAGCUGCCUUGCUAUAAUGUCUAAAGUUUAUAGAAUUGGUGCAGCCAAUCUGGGACCCUCAGAGAACCAUAUCAGCCCCGUUCCUUCAGCUGAGAGAAGCAGCUUGCUUCUUUUUAUGAGCUUCUCCCACCCCUUCAUCUUCCCUUGAUUACUGUUUUCUUGAAAUUAGCUCCUUAAAAUUCUUACAGCCAAUCUCCAAGACCUCCCAGCUGACACAUCUAUCUUCCGCUGCUGCUCUCCUCCUUCACAAGGACUCGCAUGGAGCCCGGGAAGUACUUCACGUUUUGUUUGCUAAUAAAGACCAUGGAGGGAUGUUAAACCGAUAGCACCUACCAUACAAGAAGAUGGCUGGAAAAAAACCGUGGCCAGCAGCCAGAGCGGUUCCCUGCACAGCAGUGAGCUCUCUGAGGUAUUAAGACGUGUCUCUUUGUUACUGACAAUGGCAUUCAAGUCUCAGGUGUGACAGUAUGAAUUCACUGCAGGCCUGAAAAAUGGAGAAAUGGCUCCCCAAAGACAUUUUCCUAAUCCAAAAAUGCAGCGGAGUCUGAAGUAACAAAAGAAAACAGAUUCUGCCUUGUUCUAGCAAAGUUUUGCCAUCCCCGUAUCUCGGGGGAUCUGGUAUCCUCGUUAUCACUGAGGUGCUGGUAGCAGUCCCAGGCACAAAGUGACGGAGCGCCGGCCGAUACUCAUUUAUUGCUGCAGAUGAGACAAAUGUGGAGAGAGCAGGCAGGGGGGAGUUGGCAGGGAAGAUGCAGUGCUGCCAACCCCAACUGCUGCAGCUUGAAGACACAUCUUUAGAAGAUGUUCCCAUGACGCAAUUAGGGAGGUAAUUAAAUAAUCCUGUGAAACACAGCCUGGCUGCUAAGUGUGUUGUAGGCAAGGAGCUGAAGUGCUAUGCUUCUGUCCAUGGCAGGGGGGAGGCAUGAAAAUAAUCUGUUGUCAUUUUUGCCUUUACAAAAGUUUGUAAAGUCUAGAUUUUUACUCCCUAAAAGUGUGUUGCUGAAAGUGCUGUUCAUCCAAAGGACUUUGAGCAAGCUGUUCCAGGUAACAAUAGCAGAUGGGAUGCGAUGGGAAUGCAAUUGCAGAAAAAGGCAAUGGGAUGGACGUAACCACAGGUGAGCCACACACAUGGCAUGACACCUGGAAAAUGCUCGGCACAUCCUGAAAUUACUGCAAAUCCUCCGGGUGCUCGGUGGAAGCUGGCUCAGGUCCUCACGCUGCAGGCACACGCCGGUUGCAGGUGAAGGUAACAGGGUUAACCAGUUGCUCGUGCUCAUUUUUACAGGAGAAUCGAAUGCAGAAUUCCACAAUGAGCGCAUCCAACUGGAAUAACUUCAAGGCAUAGGCAGGACUGUUCGAAUUUUCUGGGUUGCUUUUUCGUCAGGGGACCUGAAUGCUCUGAAUUGCGCAGUAAUUAUGAAUGUAAUAUCUUGACAAUGUUAAAUAUCAUUAAUGACUGAUCUAAGGGAACUUGCAAAUGACCAUGUAGUUACACAGUGUUGGCAGCAUAAAUAGCAAUUAAUGUUGUAACUGUAGCUGUUUGUGCUCAGUAGAUUGUAUCAGGGAAUCCCAUAGAGUGGGAAGGAGUGUCAAAUGUUCUAACACAGGAGAAAAUAAUAAUGAUAGUGAUAAUAUGAAACUGAUAAUUAAGGACCUUCCCUCUGAUACAUCUGCUAAAGCAAUAGGGCUGCUCAGGAGUGCAGAAACCUGAAAAGCAGUUUGUGUGUAUCUGUGGCUCCGUCCAUCCAUCUGUCCCUAACAGAUCAGGCAAGUCAAAGGGAUUGUUAUGGCAAUUACCUCAAGAAAUUUUGCUUUAGCUUAAACUGCAGAGAUCUGUAUUCUUGGGAGAAAGGCCUGGGAUUCUGGAUUUUGCUCUCAGUGAUUUUUGCAGUAAUUAUCUGCAGUAUGCAGGACAUAGAUUUGGUGUAACAGGAAGCUGAAAAGUGCUCCAGUGCAAAGAUAGAUCUGGACUCCCUCCACUGGCCUUCGCUGAAGGCCAGUGAGUGUCUGUCACAGCCGCAAGCCACGGCGCUCCAGGAGCACCAAAAUGAUGCCCAGCUCACCAACUGCAGCAAAGGGUUCAUAUCUCUGUCUGACGCACUGCUCAGGAAGAUGUUUGUCACUCUCAUGAAAAGGAGAAAGCAGCCAGUUAGCCACGGUUUGCUUCACGAAGAAGCUUGGGAAGAAGAGUUGAUAUUUCACUGCACACAGAAAUUGCUGAUGCUGUUUUUUUUCCCCUUCUCUUGGCUAUAAAUGAGAUCUGGAGAGGGGAAUGGAGAGACAGAAAGAACAAGGAAAAAGACCUGAUAAAAUGCCAUCCUGAUCUUGGUCAAUAAACUUAUUUCCAAUUAGGAGCUCCAGCAGCAGCAGGUGCACAGUGUAUGUUCUGCUGCAGGGUACUCAUCCUGAUGGUAAGAAGCCAAAUUUUAAUAAUAUUUGCAUCAGCAAGAAUGUGAAGUAAUCCCAGUGAAAUUAUGCCAUUUAUCCUGGAUUUGUACCAGUAUCAAAGAAAGCAAAAUCUGUCUGAUUUACGUCAAGAGCCUUCUUUGCUGUAAUAACUGAAGCAGCCCUGCACUGCAGCUUCCCUCUUUCAGGCUUAAGGAUUCCCUGCUUUUCUUUAGUACAGAGCUUGGAGAUCUUGUUUCUCUGCUCAGUGGUAAAUGCUCUGACCUUCCUUUCAGAGAUGGUGGCCACUUCUUCCCUGGUUAUAAUUCCUGAUUUGAUGUUCAGCCCUGGUAUAUGCAGGGGUAACUCCAUCAUGUGUGUUGGAGGCAACAUCUUUUGUGCUUGGCCUGGGAUACCCACUACUUGAUGGGGAUACUGCAGUAAUAAAGCAUUUGUAUUUGACCUGAGGGAAGCUGAACAAGCUAAAGAGUGGAGAGAGGGUUGCAACUUGGGUGGAAGAGGCAGGAAGACAAGAAGAGAGAUGAAAUGGUAAAUUUGUGACAGUGGCCACAAAAAGUGAUGGCGGUAGUGCAUUAGGUGAUGCAGGUGGGCAUGGAGUUCUUCCAAAUCACCUCAGCAGAGGACCUGUCCCAUGACUCCCACCCGCCCUUCUCUAUACCAGUGACUGCUGCAUUGCAAAUUAGUCUGCCUAGCCAGUCAGUCUCAGGUGAAUACUGACAGCAAAGGCAUGUUACAGGGUGAAGUCCAAAGACCUAGAUGGAUAGGUGUGAAUAGCAAAUGCAGAUGAGAGCUGGCAAAAAGCUUCAAUGUGGUGACGAGGACAUGAGCACAGGAGAGCAGUACAAGGGAGAGCAGCGCAGGAAACACUGCGCUCUCCAAAUGUGUCAGUCUCACAAAGAGGUGACAGCUGUCAGGGAAGAUGACAUACUGAUGGAUUGCCGCCUUCAUUGGAAGAGAAAUAAGCCCUGCUUAUUAUGGAAUAUUUUGCUUUAAUGAUGCACUGUUGUUUUUUUUCUGUUUUCCAGUUGGUCUAAAUUCUGAUCCCUGUUAGAUGCCAUUAGCAGUUUCCACUGAAAUCCAGAAGCCUUAUACAUCUCACCAGAAGCAUGAUUUGGCUCUAGGCCCAUUGGUAUCACUGGAGCUGGGCUUCUCACAUGUGAACAGGAGACCAGGGGAUGCUCAGAUAAUCUGGGAAAGGCUCUGGCAUGGCCUCAGGUUAGUGUGCUUGGC
Oxyura jamaicensis (ruddy duck) is the source of this 6181-nucleotide long non-coding RNA. RefSeq lists it as uncharacterized. The transcript has 3 exons. The record is from RefSeq and is a predicted model, not a curated record. Lineage: Eukaryota; Metazoa; Chordata; Aves; Anseriformes; Anatidae.